This 500-nucleotide ribosomal RNA is filed under the name uncultured bacterium. Its description in RNAcentral is "partial 16S ribosomal RNA". It matches the Rfam family "Bacterial small subunit ribosomal RNA", at positions 30 to 523 of the family's 1533-position model. The record is from RNAcentral.
AUUGAACGCUGGCGGCAUGCCUUACACAUGCAAGUCGAACGGCAGCACGGGAGCAAUCCUGGUGGCGAGUGGCGAACGGGUGAGUAAAGUAUCGGAACGUGCCCAGUCGUGGGGGAUAACGUAGCGAAAGUUACGCUAAUACCGCAUACGAUCUAUGGAUGAAAGCGGGGGAUCGCAAGACCUCGCGCGAUUGGAGCGGCCGAUAUCAGAUUAGGUAGUUGGUGGGGUAAAGGCUCACCAAGCCGACGAUCUGUAGCUGGUCUAAGAGGACGACCAGCCAACCUGGGACUGAGACACGGCCCAUACUCCUACGGGAGGCAGCAGUGGGGAAUUUUGGACAAUGGGCGAAAGCCUGAUCCAGCCAUUCCGCGUGCAGGAUGAAGGCCCUCGGGUUGUAAACUGCUUUUGUACAGAACGAAAAGGUUUCUACUAAUACUAGGAGCUCAUGACGGUACUGUAAGAAUAAGCACCGGCUAACUACGUGCCAGCCGCCGCAGUAA